GACGAACGCUGGCGGCGUGCUUAACACAUGCAAGUGGAGCGACGAACCGGGCUUCGGCCCGGGGCAAAGCCGCGAACGGGUGAGUAACACGUGGGUAACCUGCCCCGAUGACCGGGACAACCCGAGGAAACUCGGGCUAAUACCGGAUGUGUCCCACACUCAUGAGGGUGUGGUGCAAAGGUAGCUUCGGCCUCCGCAUCGGGAUGGGCCCGCGGCCCAUUAGCUUGUUGGUGGGGUAACGGCCUACCAAGGCUGCGAUGGGUAGCUGGUCUGAGAGGACGAUCAGCCACACUGGGACUGAGACACGGCCCAGACUCCUACGGGAGGCAGCAGUGGGGAAUCUUGCGCAAUGCGCGAAAGCGUGACGCAGCAACGCCGCGUGGGGGAAGAAGGCCUUCGGGUUGUAAACCCCUUUCAGUUGGGACGAAGCUUUGCCGGUGAAUAGCCGGCUGGAGUGACGGUACCUUCAGAAGAAGCCCCGGCUAACUACGUGCCAGCCGCCGCAGUAACAC
RNAcentral lists this ribosomal RNA (512 nucleotides) under uncultured bacterium. Its description in RNAcentral is "bacterial SSU rRNA". It matches the Rfam family "Bacterial small subunit ribosomal RNA", at positions 28 to 526 of the family's 1533-position model. The record is from RNAcentral.